GAUGAACGCUGGCGGCAUGCCUAAUACAUGCAAGUCGAGCGAAAAGACGAUGAGCUUGCCACUCUGACGUUACCGGCGGAUGGGUGAGAAACACGUAGAUAACCUACCUAUAUGAGUGGGAUAACUUCGUGCAACUGGCGCUUAUACCGGUCAAUUUAUUGCAUUUCUUGGUUCAAUAGUUGACGACGGUCUUGCUAUCUCGUAUAGGUGGAAAGGCCCCACCUGAGCUAGUUGGUAAGGGAACGGCUUACCAAAGCUACGCUGGGUAGCAAACCAGAGAGGGUGGUCGGCCAGCCUGGAACUGAGGCACGGUCCACACUCCUACAGUGAGCAGCAGUAGGGAAUCUUCCGCGAUGGGCGAGAGCCUGACGGAGCAACAUCGCGGGAGUGAUGAUGGUCUUCGGAUCGUAGAACGCUGAUAUUAGGGAAGAAGAAAUGUGUAAGUAUCUAUGCACGUCAUGACGGUACCUAAUCAGAAAGCCACGGCUAACUACGUG
RNAcentral lists this ribosomal RNA (497 nucleotides) under uncultured bacterium. RNAcentral's name for it is "partial 16S ribosomal RNA". It matches the Rfam family "Bacterial small subunit ribosomal RNA", at positions 28 to 507 of the family's 1533-position model. The record is from RNAcentral.